GGGUUGUGAGGUUAAGCGACUAAGCGUACACGGUGGAUGCCCUGGCAGUCAGAGGCGAUGAAGGGCGUGCUAAUCUGCGAUAAGCGCCGGUAAGGUGAUAUGAACCGUUAUAACCGGCGAUACCCGAAUGGGGAAACCCAGUGUGAUUCGUCACACUAUCAUUAACUGAAUCCAUAGGUUAAUGAGGCGAACCGGGGGAACUGAAACAUCUAAGUACCCCGAGGAAAAGAAAUCAACCGAGAUUCCCCCAGUAGCGGCGAGCGAACGGGGAGGAGCCCAGAGCCUGAAUCAGCAUGUGUGUUAGUGGAAGCGUCUGGAAAGGCGCGCGAUACAGGUGACAGCCCCGUACACAAAAGCGCAUGUGCUGUGAGCUCGAUGAGUAGGGCGGGACACGUGGUAUCCUGUCUGAAUAUGGGGGGACCAUCCUCCAAGGCUAAAUACUCCUGACUGACCGAUAGUGAACCAGUACCGUGAGGGAAAGGCGAAAAGAACCCCGGCGAGGGAGUGAAAAAGAACCUGAAACCGUGUACGUACAAGCAGUGCAGCACCCUUCGGGGUGUGACUGCGUACCUUUUGUAUAAUGGGUCAGCGACUUAUAUUCUGUAGCAAGGUUAACCGUAUAGGGGAGCCGGAGGGAAACCGAGUCUUAACCGGGCGUUAAGUUGCAGGGUAUAGACCCGAAACCCGGUGAUCUAGCCAUGGGCAGGUUGAAGGUUGGGUAACACUAACUGGAGGACCGAACCGACUAAUGUUGAAAAAUUAGCGGAUGACCUGUGGCUGGGGGUGAAAGGCCAAUCAAACCGGGAGAUAGCUGGUUCUCCCCGAAAGCUAUUUAGGUAGCGCCUCGUGAAUUCAUCUCCGGGGGUAGAGCACUGUUUCGGCUAGGGGGCCAUCCCGGCUUACCAACCCGAUGCAAACUGCGAAUACCGGAGAAUGUUAUCACGGGAGACACACGGCGGGUGCUAACGUCCGUCGUGAAGAGGGAAACAACCCAGACCGCCAGCUAAGGUCCCAAAGUCAUGGUUAAGUGGGAAACGAUGUGGGAAGGCCCAGACAGCCAGGAUGUUGGCUUAGAAGCAGCCAUCAUUUAAAGAAAGCGUAAUAGCUCACUGGUCGAGUCGGCCUGCGCGGAAGAUGUAACGGGGCUAAACCAUGCACCGAAGCUGCGGCAGCGAACGUAUCACCCAAGACAACUUUACGGAGUUGACGAUUGACGGAGCGAAGCGACGUCAAAGCGUUCAUUAAAGUCGAGUUGGCUUAGGGAUACGUUCGUUGGGUAGGGGAGCGUUCUGUAAGCCUGUGAAGGUGUGUCGUGAGGCAUGCUGGAGGUAUCAGAAGUGCGAAUGCUGACAUAAGUAACGAUAAAGCGGGUGAAAAGCCCGCUCGCCGGAAGACCAAGGGUUCCUGUCCAACGUUAAUCGGGGCAGGGUGAGUCGACCCCUAAGGCGAGGCCGAAAGGCGUAGUCGAUGGGAAACGGGUUAAUAUUCCCGUACUUGGUGUUACUGCGAAGGGGGGACGGAGAAGGCUAUGUUGGCCGGGCGACGGUUGUCCCGGUUUAAGCGUGUAGGUGUGUGUUCCAUGUAAAUCCGGUUCACUUUAACACUGAGGCGUGACGACGAGGCACUACGGUGCUGAAGCAACAAAUGCCCUGCUUCCAGGAAAAGCCUCUAAGCAUCAGGUAACACGAAAUCGUACCCCAAACCGACACAGGUGGUCAGGUAGAGAAUACCAAGGCGCUUGAGAGAACUCGGGUGAAGGAACUAGGCAAAAUGGUGCCGUAACUUCGGGAGAAGGCACGCUGACACGUAGGUGAAGUGAUUUACUCAUGGAGCUGAAGUCAGUCGAAGAUACCAGCUGGCUGCAACUGUUUAUUAAAAACACAGCACUGUGCAAACACGAAAGUGGACGUAUACGGUGUGACGCCUGCCCGGUGCCGGAAGGUUAAUUGAUGGGGUCAGCGUAAGCGAAGCUCCUGAUCGAAGCCCCGGUAAACGGCGGCCGUAACUAUAACGGUCCUAAGGUAGCGAAAUUCCUUGUCGGGUAAGUUCCGACCUGCACGAAUGGCGUAAUGAUGGCCAGGCUGUCUCCACCCGAGACUCAGUGAAAUUGAACUCGCUGUGAAGAUGCAGUGUACCCGCGGCAAGACGGAAAGACCCCGUGAACCUUUACUAUAGCUUGACACUGAACAUUGAGCCUUGAUGUGUAGGAUAGGUGGGAGGCUUUGAAGUGUGGACGCCAGUCUGCAUGGAGCCGACCUUGAAAUACCACCCUUUAAUGUUUGAUGUUCUAACGUGGACCCGUAAUCCGGGUUGCGGACAGUGUCUGGUGGGUAGUUUGACUGGGGCGGUCUCCUCCUAAAGAGUAACGGAGGAGCACGAAGGUUGGCUAAUCCUGGUCGGACAUCAGGAGGUUAGUGCAAUGGCAUAAGCCAGCUUGACUGCGAGCGUGACGGCGCGAGCAGGUGCGAAAGCAGGUCAUAGUGAUCCGGUGGUUCUGAAUGGAAGGGCCAUCGCUCAACGGAUAAAAGGUACUCCGGGGAUAACAGGCUGAUACCGCCCAAGAGUUCAUAUCGACGGCGGUGUUUGGCACCUCGAUGUCGGCUCAUCACAUCCUGGGGCUGAAGUAGGUCCCAAGGGUAUGGCUGUUCGCCAUUUAAAGUGGUACGCGAGCUGGGUUUAGAACGUCGUGAGACAGUUCGGUCCCUAUCUGCCGUGGGCGCUGGAGAACUGAGGGGGGCUGCUCCUAGUACGAGAGGACCGGAGUGGACGCAUCACUGGUGUUCGGGUUGUCAUGCCAAUGGCACUGCCCGGUAGCUAAAUGCGGAAGAGAUAAGUGCUGAAAGCAUCUAAGCACGAAACUUGCCCCGAGAUGAGUUCUCCCUGAGACUUAGAGUCUCCUGAAGGAACGUUGAAGACGACGACGUUGAUAGGCCGGGUGUGUAAGCGCAGCGAUGCGUUGAGCUAACCGGUACUAAUGAACCGUGAGGCUUAACCUUACAACGCCGAAG
Molecule: ribosomal RNA, 3008 nt
Filed under: Salmonella enterica subsp. enterica serovar 1,4,[5],12:i:-
Lineage: Bacteria; Pseudomonadati; Pseudomonadota; Gammaproteobacteria; Enterobacterales; Enterobacteriaceae
Description: 23S ribosomal RNA
Rfam family: Bacterial large subunit ribosomal RNA
Source: RNAcentral